RNAcentral lists this small nuclear RNA (99 nucleotides) under Chinchilla lanigera (long-tailed chinchilla). The record is from RNAcentral. Lineage: Eukaryota; Metazoa; Chordata; Mammalia; Rodentia; Chinchillidae.
GUGCUCACUGGGGUAACACAUAUACUAAAAUUGGAAAGAUACAGAGACUAUUAACAUGGUCCUUGUGCACUUCACUUUCGUGAAGUGUUCCAUAUUUUU